UAGCGAAACCGCCCUCCGGGGCGGUCGGCCAGGCGCGGCGGCCUGGUCCUGAUGAGCAGCCGAAA
RNAcentral lists this non-coding RNA (65 nucleotides) under Pseudomonadota bacterium. The record is from RNAcentral. Lineage: Bacteria; Pseudomonadati; Pseudomonadota.